AAACUCUAAUUACUAUCUGUUUCUCUCUUUCUUUCUUCGUCUCCUCCGAAGAACACCUCUCCUCUCCUCCACAGAUGACCGUCGGCGCUCUAUCACCACAGCUGCUCUUCUCUCAAUCCCUCUUCUUCAUCUCCAUUUCUUGAUUGAAACGACCCAUCUUAGUUCUCAUCUGCAAUUUCGGGUGAAACUCAUCAAUCGAAUACCUCAGAUCCAGCUUCUACAAACCCUAAAUCAAACGAAACCCAACUUCGAUUCGUAAUCUGACACCGAUUUCUUCUUUCACUGAUUCAAUCUCAGAACCCCUUUCAAUUCUUCAUUCAACAUCUAACCUAGCCAUAAGAAUCAUACCUCUCCUUCUAUGAACAUCGAAUCAACAACAAAAAAUUCAUUAUCUUCUCCAUCUCUGAUCAAAGUUUCUUAAUUAUGGGCUCGAUUUGUGGAAUUGGUGUUGCUGCUGCUAGAAAUCAAGAUGAAUGGUGAAUUACAGUUAGGGCUUGAACAAGGAAUUGGAGAUGAAGAUUUUGACUGAACUGUAGGUGGAAUUGAUUACAGAAAAGAAGGAAUUGAAAUGGGUGAUGUCGGCUGACUAGAGAAGAACUAAAGGGUUCUGUAUGUGAUUCGAAUGCUUAGAUUAUUGGAAGAAGAAUUGUUAAGUGGGUUGAGCAGGUUGUGAAAUGAAGAGUAUGGUUGUAUGUGUUGGUGGUGUGUGGUUUGGUAAAGCUUGAGACGCUGGUAAUGAAGUUGUAAUAUGGGAGAUGGCUUGUGCUGAGACAGAUGGUGGAGUUUUCCGUGGUGAUUGUACUGGAUGAACAUGGCAGAAUGGCGAAAUCAGUUGCAGAUGCAAUUGCAAUAAACAAGGUGGUGGCUGGAAGCCAAGAAUGGAGUUAGCUGAGUUGUGGGUUUUGUCUUUGCCCUCUCUCAGCUUAUCUGAAAUCACCAAUAAUACCGUGAAUUGGGGGUUUUGUCUUUGCCCUAUUAGGAAAGGCAACAACAAGUAAAGUCAGUGUAAGUUUUUAUACUUUUCCUUUCACUUAUUUAUUCUGCUUUUGAUUAUAUUGUUUUGGUUUCUCUAAGCAAGGGGGAAGGUCUGAAAUGGAAUUAGGGUUGAUUGAGAAGAACACAGAUGGGAGAUAUGAUUGUUGGUGGUUGUUUCUUAGAUAUUGAGAAGGGGUUUUUGAAGAUGAGCUUGAGUUGUUGUGGAAUUGAAUUCUUAAGGUACAAACUAGUGAUGGUUCUGGUGGUGAUGAAUUUGUGAGUACGAGCUAACAGGUCCAAGAGAUGGAUUUGGUUGCUUCUCAUGGAAGACAAGAAGAUGAAUGGAUGUUGGUGCUAAUGUUGCAGAAUGGUUUGAAUUGCAGCAUCUGUCAGGGCAUCCCGGUGUUGUGGCAUUGACUGCAGUGUAUGAGGAUACUGAGUCAUUUCAUCUUUUGAUGGAAUUGUGUUCUGGUGGGAGGUUACACAUUGACAGGGAAAUUGUGGAGGUCGGUUCUGAUGAAAUUGUGGAGGUCGGUUCUGGAUGACGGUUCUGGCAGCAAGAACUUGGAAUCCGCAGAGACUCAGGAUGGAAGGAAUAUGGUGGAGGAGGGGAUGAUUAUUGAUACUCCACAAAUGGAGAUAACUCCAGUGAUUGAUGAUGAUUCUGCACCAAUACAGAUGGUGCCUCCUUCACUAUUCCCUAAUCCACAUUUAGAUGAUGAUCUACAACUAGAGGCAACAAUUCCACUCACUGAACUUGAACCCCAACCACCAGAGAUUGAUUUGGCAUCUUUUUUUUUGCCACCGAUCAGGUGUUUGAAUCGCAUGAAGCAAUAAUACAGUGGUGUCAAGAGGUCGGUAAGAAGCAUAACAUGAUACUUGUCAUUACAAAGUCGAUGAAAACAUUGACUGGAAAGGGGUCGAAACGGGCUGCUAAUGUGCUGAAAGAAAGGCAGUAUUCCGAGCAACGGGCUACUAAUGUGCUGAAAGAGUUGAUGUUGGUGAUUAAGUAUUGUCAUGAAAUGGGUGUGGUUUAUCGAGAUAUAAAGCCUGAGAAUAUACUCCUCAUGGCAGCAGGGAAGAUGAAGCUUGCGGAUUUUGGAUUAGCAUGAGGGUUUCACAUGGCAUUUGCGGUUGAGAGAUACUUUCCUUUUGAGUUUCUGUGUCAUUAAGAUAUUUUGGAUUAGCCAUGAGGGUUUUAAGACACCCAUAAAUGCACUUUGUCUCAAUAGUGACUCAAAUACCUGUAAUCAUGUUUCAUCAGCAUCAGUAGAUAGUAGUUCAGAUCAGAAGUCAGAAGAACAGGAUGAGUGUGGUUUGGUCUAAUGCACUUGCAGUGGCAAUCUCACGUGUGAGUUUGAGCAAUGUCAUAUUGCAAUUGGAGAUGGGAAUGAAGCAAGUUCAGGUAACAGAUGGAAUAUGGAGUUUGUUGUGGUUGUCGGUAAGCUCACGGGAAUUGAGAAAGUUCAGGAAGUUAUGUUGCAGCUGAAACUGGUGAAUUGAGCAAGUUUAGGGAAUGCUUGAUUUUGGCUUGCUGGUUAGCUACGCUGCACAUAAUUGGAAAUCUGAUCUUCCGUAGUAACAAACAAUAGUGAUUAUAAUUGGAAAUCUGAUCUUCUUUUCAAAUACAUGGUUAUUAAAGUAUUACAGAUUUAAUUUUGUAUUUAAAUUCUCAAAAGAAAUUUCUUUUUCCAAA
This is a long non-coding RNA of Papaver somniferum (opium poppy), 2671 nucleotides long. RefSeq lists it as uncharacterized. The transcript has 5 exons. NCBI's taxonomy places the organism in Eukaryota, Viridiplantae, Streptophyta, Magnoliopsida, Ranunculales, Papaveraceae. The record is from RefSeq and is a predicted model, not a curated record.